GCUUCGGUCGUCUAGAGGUUAGGACAUGCGGCUUUCUCCCGCAGAACCAGGGUUCGAUCCCCUGUCGGAGUA
RNAcentral lists this transfer RNA (72 nucleotides) under Vibrio phage KIT04. It matches the Rfam family "tRNA". Rfam says of the family: Transfer RNA (tRNA) molecules are approximately 80 nucleotides in length. Their secondary structure includes four short double-helical elements and three loops (D, anti-codon, and T loops). Further hydrogen bonds mediate the characteristic L-shaped molecular structure. tRNAs have two regions of fundamental functional importance: the anti-codon, which is responsible for specific mRNA codon recognition, and the 3' end, to which the tRNAs corresponding amino acid is attached (by aminoacyl-tRNA synthetases). tRNAs cope with the degeneracy of the genetic code in two manners: having more than one tRNA (with a specific anti-codon) for a particular amino acid; and 'wobble' base-pairing, i.e. permitting non-standard base-pairing at the 3rd anti-codon position. Lineage: Duplodnaviria; Heunggongvirae; Uroviricota; Caudoviricetes; Demerecviridae. The record is from Rfam by way of RNAcentral.